RNAcentral lists this ribosomal RNA (440 nucleotides) under uncultured bacterium. Its description in RNAcentral is "partial 16S ribosomal RNA". It matches the Rfam family "Bacterial small subunit ribosomal RNA", at positions 338 to 795 of the family's 1533-position model. The record is from RNAcentral.
CCUACGGGGGGCAGCAGUGGGGGAUAUUGCAUCAUGGGGGAAACCCUGAUGCAGCGACGCCGCGUGGGUGAAGAAGCGCCUCGGCGCGUAAAGCCCUGUCAGCAGGGAAGAAAAUGACGGUACCUGAAGAAGAAGCCCCGGCUAACUACGUGCCAGCAGCCGCGGUAAUACGUAGGGGGCAAGCGUGAUCCGGAUUUACUGGGUGUAAAGGGGGCGCAGACGGCGAUGCAAGCCAGGAGUGAAAGCCCGGGGCCCAACCCCGGGACUGCUCUUGGAACUGCGUGGCGAGAGUGCAGGAGGGGCAGGCGGAAGUCCUGGUGUAGCGGUGAAAUGCGUAGAUAUCAGGAGGAACACCGGUGGCGAAGGCGGCCUGCUGGACUGCAACUGACGUUGAGGCCCGAAAGCGUGGGGAGCAAACAGAAUUAGAUACCCCAGUAGUC